Molecule: long non-coding RNA, 391 nt
Organism: Gallus gallus (chicken)
Lineage: Eukaryota; Metazoa; Chordata; Aves; Galliformes; Phasianidae
Exons: 3
Source: RefSeq, a predicted model, not a curated record
CACGAUCUGGAACCUCUCUGCAAACCUUGGCUGCCCGUUCCCACCACCGUUUCUCCCUUUCUCUCUUCAGAAGUGGCGCGGUGCGGUUCCCCGCGGUUGGGAGCAGCAGCCAGCAGGCUGCCAGAGAUCCAACCGCGCCUUGCAGCGCACAGAGGGACGCAACAGGGACGGACGGUCCUUCCUGCCAUACAGAAGGAUGGAUCCUGCGCGUCCAUGGAGUGGUGCUGGGCAAGGGGGGAAACGGAAAGCCUCCGCAGAGAGAGGUGCCGAGCCCAACGGAAAGAUCUACGCAAAAGCAGUGCAGGAAGUCCUUCUGGAGAGAGCUCAUCUCCAGGCUGGAGGGCUUCCUACAACAGCAGGUCCCAGCACAGGGGGAAGACCUUCCCCUGCC